AUGUAUACUCGUCAACCUCUCAAUCCCAAGAGCAAUGAUGACUUGGGAUCCCAUGGACUAUCAUCACCAACGUCCCCUUCGCGCAAGGACUAUGCGCAACUCCUGUACUUGGAUCUCACACGGCUAUGGGCCAUUUACCACUUCUCACAUUAUACUCAUUUUACCGUGUUCACUUUGCAUGCUAUGCUUGCUUCUAUGCCUUUGCCAUGCAAUUGUGACCCUUGCUUGCAUCUACCCAUGGUUCAUCAUUAUGCUACUUCUAUGUGUAUUUGCAUGCUUGGUAGAGAUCCUUGUUGCUAUUGCCAUGUUUAUCAUGUGCCCCAUGCUAUUGAUACUAUUUUGCUCAUAUCUUGCCUUUAUGCUUGUGAUAUGUCAUGUGCAUUAUUCAUGCCCACUAUUUGCACACAUGACAUGAUUGCCAUGAUUCCUUCUAGUAUGUUGCAUCUUCGCACUACUAGCAUGCUUGACUUGAUUGCUAUGAUUGCUUGCUAUGUUGCAUCACCCAUGUUCCACUAUCACUUGCUUCCUUGGGUUGAUGACAUAUAUGCAUACACUUGUUCUCGCAUCAUAUGCCUACAUACUAUGAAAUGCUCCCUUGUCCUUUCUUAUGAUGAGCAUGAUGCAUACACUUGUUGGGUAUCUCGCCCCUCGAAUGAUAGGUCUUGCUUUUGCACUAACCUCAUUUGUUUUUCCAAGUGUUUCUCAUGUUCUUUCAUUUUGAAGGAUUCACAAGGCAUCGACAUUGACCUAUGGUACAUCCAUGCCUACCGUGUACAUGGCGAUACGGUUUACGAUCCGAGGUCGGAUCUUUUCAAAGGGGGAGGAGAUGAUACGGAGCAUCCCACGUUCAUCUCCAUGUACACCUUCAUAGCACAUCAAGCCCCAAGUGGACCUACCGGACUUAAGGUGAACCCGCUCCUCUUCAAGAUUUACAUGAAUAUCCAUAGGACUUGGUGGCUACCUCACCACGGAACGUUGUGCAUCUUCAGGUACGAGGACAACCGCCGCCAAGCAGCUAAGGAGCUUCCCGGAGGCCAAGGAGAAGGACCCCAAGGCCACAAGAAGGAAGAAGGAGGGCGACAAGAUCGAUUCAGCACCUCCCAGGCGACCCCGUGCCCACGGGCCUCGAAGACCCCGUGCGCACGGGCUACUCAGCGAGUCUGCACUGGAGCACCCCGUGCGCACGGGCCUGUACCGUGCCCACGGGACCCCAGUGCGCAUGGGCCCAACUUACCCCGUGCGCACGGGCCCUACAGGAUGGAUGGCUGUGAGCUGCUGUUUGGGCCUCCUCUUCAUCCAUUUCGUCCCCAUGACUAUAUAUUCUGUACCUAG
RNAcentral lists this ribosomal RNA (1332 nucleotides) under Triticum aestivum (bread wheat). Its description in RNAcentral is "partial small subunit ribosomal RNA". Lineage: Eukaryota; Viridiplantae; Streptophyta; Magnoliopsida; Poales; Poaceae. The record is from RNAcentral.